ACAGUUAUCACACCAUUAUUGUGCAAAAAAUAAGGGUGGUUUAACGCGGCACUCUGCCAGCCACUUUUGGCUUCCAUAGACAUCAACAAGCCUAUGCCUCCAACACUACCAGAGGUUGACGCUAGCUCCACGGAAUGUGCUGGCAGCUGCUGGCAGCGCGCCCAUGAAACACAGCCAGGGGUUUCCUCUGUAAAGUCAUUAUUGUCUAGGUACAUGAGCCUUUAGCAAUUGUUAACAGCUAUAAAAAUUGGAAUUAGAAAUGUUCAGGUAUUAUCAGCAUCAGCUAAACAGGGAAGAGAAUUCGGCUACAGCCCAUCUUGCAACGCCUCAAUGAAAUUUAACGAGAAACUUAAAUUGAGGGAGCAGCUACAUAACUGAGGUAAAGCCCAUAAAUCCUUGUGGAUUUACCUACAUACCUGAGGUAAAUCCACAAGGCACCUUGAGUUCAAACUAUGAAGUGACUCCAAGCGAAAUAUAGCAGAAAUUGGGACUUAAACGAGCUUAGAAAUAAUCUGCUUAGUGCUGGAUAAGUGUUUUCACUUUACCAUAUGUUGUUUUUUAUUCAAAGUUAUUGUAUUGUUCAUUAUUGUAAAAGCCAAGCAACUUUUGCAACAUUGAGGAUCAUACUUUAGCUUUGGAAACAAGACAUAGGUAUGUAGUUAUGCUGAUCUUCUUUUCCAGAGUCUUUGAUUAUCACUUAAUUUCAUUCACUUUUGAUGUAGUGAAAAUGUAGAAUGAAUUCACUGGAAUUCACUGGGAUUGUAUUGUGUAUGCAAGUCCAAAUAUUUCGGCCAAUAUUGUUUGGCCUUGGUCACUGGACAACUACAAUAACCCUAUAAGAAUAGCUCACAUUGCAGCGACAUAUUUUUGUGUCUUGUGGGGUCUCAUAUAGCAAUAACAAGAGCAGUGACAUGCAUAGUUUGCUUGUGUUGUCACAACUUUGUACAAUAUUUCCAGCUUUAUGAUAUGCAGUUAUUAGUCACAUUGGGCAUCACGCAUAUAUUUUUUCCUGCUGGAGGGAAGACACAGGAGGGAUCCAGUGACUCAUGUUUUUGCUUCUAUCGCUUCACCCCUGGGGAAUCAGUUCCUACACCCCUUGAGUAUAAUGGUCACCAAGGGGUGCUGUCCUGACACGUCCACUUUCUGUUGAGAAGAUCCCGAAAGAAGAUAACAGCUUGUUUUCUUCACCGCCACCAGUCUACCUGCUCUCUGCACACUCGGCAGAGCGCGGCAGGGCACCCCACGGAGCUGCACUAGUCACAUCCGGGCCCCACGCCGGUCGACGGCCGAUGCGCCGCUGGGAGGCCUGCGGCGCGGACGACGGAUGCGGCAGUUGGUCAAGACACGGCAGCCUACUCGAGGUGCUUCUCGCCUGGAGGACGCAGGCGAAUCGCGUUAUCCGAGCUGUGCCUCGUCAUGGUGCGAUGAGCCUUAAUAGACUAAUGCAUAUUCUUCCUUUGGCUGUAAUUCAUUUGCUGCUGCCCGCUGGGCUAAGGAGUAACUCUGGGCGCCUACUUUGGGCAGACGCUCGUCCAGUGCCGCUCUUCGUUUGCCGCACAUAUCUUUAUUUAUUCUUUGUUACAAUUCCGUCUUUGGUCAUUUUUUUUACCAUGGGGGCACUUGAAAGUUUUGUUUUUAAAUCUGUGGACAUUGAACCUGGAAUCGGUUUUAUGUCGGAUUUCGGUUUUGUUUUUGCACUGUGGAAAUAUCUCGUUCAAUAUUUUUAAAGGAAAAGGGCCACCUUUAACAUGGGGAUUGAAACUGAGAUAGCCAUCUUGUAGCCCGUGUCCGAAAACCUAUUUGUCUACCUCCUUACGGCCGAUUUCGGCCUCCAUUCGUAGUUAUCGGCAAUUUUAAAAGAAAAUACGCCAGGAAUGCGUUCUUAUCCCAGGAAUGCGUUCUUAUCCGACAAUACAGCCACCCGCGGCGAGGCUUUGGUUUUUUACCAAUCAGCUCCAACCAGCUCAGCUUUAACCAAUCAGCUUAUCUGACACAAUCCGACGAGUCUGUCUUCUGAACGCUGAUUGGUUUGAGUGUGACGUCAUCGCUAUGCCAUCAUACAGUAGGUGCCGUAGAGAGUAUCAACAUAGUACCAAUAUGUUAAAUAGUUUUAAAUACUUUUUCGCAAAUUGUGCACUUCUGGCACCAGUUUUAAAAAGAAAAUGAAAAAUAAUAAUGUCAAAAUGAAAAACAACGAUAUCUUCAUAUUUCACGAAGGUGGCCCUUUUCCUUUAAGAUAGGGCGUGCUAAAACUUUUAGUCUCAUUACUCCUCUGUGCAUCUAAAUUCUAAAGUACUAUAAUGUGCAUCUCAAGUGUUUGGUGCUGUACUGUUAUUAUUUAUGGUUAAUCCAGUGCUGUACUGUUAUUAUUUAUGGUUAAUCCAGUUUUUAUUCGAUUGAAUCGUUGUGUGUAGUGCAUGACAUCCGCGUACCGCCUGUAGCAGUGUUAUAUAUUUUCAUUUAUGCUGGAAAAUAAUAACUUUCUUGUUCAUUG
This 2494-nucleotide long non-coding RNA is filed under the name Amphibalanus amphitrite. RNAcentral's name for it is "uncharacterized LOC122376110, transcript variant X4". The record is from RNAcentral. Lineage: Eukaryota; Metazoa; Arthropoda; Thecostraca; Balanomorpha; Balanidae.